Capra hircus (goat) is the source of this 88-nucleotide unclassified non-coding RNA. The record is from Ensembl. NCBI's taxonomy places the organism in Eukaryota, Metazoa, Chordata, Mammalia, Artiodactyla, Bovidae.
UUAUGGGCAGCGUUGGGGACAGGUGGCCGGACAAGGUUCCGGGGCCCUCCCUGCGAGUCGUAGAUGGGCUCCUCUGUCGCUGCUGUCA